GAAGGCUCUUGGGUUGUAAACCUCUUUUCUCAGGGAAUAAAAAAAUGAAGGUACCUGAGGAAUAAGCAUCGGCUAACUCCGUGCCAGCAGCCGCGGUAAUACGGAGGAUGCAAGCGUUAUCCGGAAUGAUUGGGCGUAAAGCGUCCGCAGGUGGUACAACAAGUCUAGUGUCAAAGACCGGGGCUCAACCCCGGAAAGGCGGUGGAAACUGUUGAACUAGAGGGUCGUAGGGGUAGAGGGAAUUCCCAGUGUAGCGGUGGAAUGCGUAGAGAUUGG
Molecule: ribosomal RNA, 276 nt
Filed under: uncultured cyanobacterium
Lineage: Bacteria; Bacillati; Cyanobacteriota
Description: partial 16S ribosomal RNA
Rfam family: Bacterial small subunit ribosomal RNA
Source: RNAcentral